AAGGCUGUACGCGAGGAAAGUCCGAGCUCUACAGGGCGGAAUAACGGCUAACGGCCGCCGGGGGUGACCCUAGGGAAAGUGCAACAGAGAUAUACCGCCGAGGAAACUCGGUAAGGAUGGAAAGGCGAGGUAAGAGCUCACCGGCACAGAAGAGAUUCUGUGGCCAUGUAAACCCUAUUCAGAGCAACACCGUGGACGGACAAUACGCUUGCCCGGCGUGUCCGAUGGAGGUGGCAUUGAGCGUCGGCGGUAACGCUGCGCCAAGAUAGAUGACUGCUUUAAACAAAACUCGGCUUAUAGAUCUGGUCU
Molecule: RNase P RNA, 309 nt
Filed under: bovine gut metagenome
Description: Bacterial RNase P class A
Rfam family: Bacterial RNase P class A
About the family: Ribonuclease P (RNase P) is a ubiquitous endoribonuclease, found in archaea, bacteria and eukarya as well as chloroplasts and mitochondria.
Source: RNAcentral